GUAUGCAACUCUGAAGAAAUGCCUACUGUUUAGCUUUUUAUAUGAAAUGGCAUUGUGGAAUAUCUUGGUUAUGAUUCCAAGAUAUAUACCACUGCACAGUCUGCACUAGACUAGACAAUAGCCUUUUACCUCCUCAUCCCAAUGACAUAUAACCCUGCAAACCCAUGGCCAUUGUCCCUAACCUCACCUCUAGGCAUCAGAAUUUAGGUUCUCUUUCAUUUGUUGAUGUUUCUUGAUUGCAUUUGUUAUGAUUAUUGGUCCACUUUCCUGACAAGGGCAAUGGCACUUCUGUAGUUUUAUUGACAAAGUGUUGGCCACUUUUGAAGGUAGAAUUUAUGGAUAUUUCCAUCUUAGUUUUUAAGAAUAUCAUACCAUGUGCAUUUUAAAAAAUAUUGGUACUGACAUGUAAAUAUGAUUUUGCUUUGUAGGAAGUAUUCCUUAAUAGGAUUAUGUGAACUUGAAGAAUACAAACUUUGUAAGAUAGUUGAAAAGAAAUAUUUUUGCUGUCUAUUGUAUAGUUUUUCCCGCAUUGAAGUAAAUGUGUGUAUUUUAUAAAUAUUAUAUAUUGGGAAGGCUUUAUUGAAAUACACCAGUAAUAUGUGCUGUACCUAGCCCAUUUUAUUCUCUGCCUUCUUUCUGUAUUCUUACUGUUAUUAGUGUCUGUUGAAUGCAUGCAUGCAAAAUGCACGCAUAUACACAUACAAUUCCCAUGAGGCCCGUGACUCUUUCUUAAAUUAUUUUUCUGCUCAUUUUUUGAGCAGAUAUGCCUCAGAGAUUUA
Molecule: unclassified non-coding RNA, 779 nt
Filed under: Hevea brasiliensis (rubber tree)
Lineage: Eukaryota; Viridiplantae; Streptophyta; Magnoliopsida; Malpighiales; Euphorbiaceae
Source: RNAcentral